Molecule: long non-coding RNA, 2240 nt
Filed under: Sorghum bicolor (sorghum)
Lineage: Eukaryota; Viridiplantae; Streptophyta; Magnoliopsida; Poales; Poaceae
Description: long non-coding RNA (SBIC_LNC002345)
Source: RNAcentral
UAUCUAGAUCUACUCUAGUUUAGAGAAGAGAGGAGAGCUCUCAUCUAUAAACCCUAGCUUUUGCUCUGUCUAUGAAUAAUGAAUAAUGAUCAAGGGGUGCCUCCUCCAGGGGCCAGGGGGUCUGGUUUUAUAGUCCCCUCAAGUGAACCUGGGCCGUCGGAUCAAACCGACAUUGAUUGAACGGUUAUUCUUGAUCCUUUAGGUCGGUGGAGCAUAAUCCGCGAGAUUGAGCAUGAUUGGCUACAGGAGGUGGGCGGGCGCCCAGUAGGACAGGGCGGGCGCCCUGUCUCUGGCCCCGUUUCGCCUCCGCUUCGGUCUCGUGGCUUCUGGAGUCUUCUAGAUGUAAGAUAAUUGCGCAGCACGUUAAUAUCUUUACGUAAUCCCGACAUGUGGGCCUUUCUUCCAUAUUUCCUGAUAACCCCCUGCAGAAAUAGACAAACACCAAAACUCGUGGAAUUCUGUCAGAUAAAACCCUAAGUCUUGAUGUUGAUUUCAUUUGGAUCCUUUUCUUUGUUUAUUUGAUAGUUAAAUUUGAUACUUAAGGACCGUCAACAAACUCCCCCAAGCUUACCUCUUGCUCGUCCCUGAGCAAGGAUAGACUCAGCUAUGGAUCAGAAGUUGUUGCAAUAUCUUAAAAAUUUAACGGUACACAUGCUUUUAAAUAAGAUCUCAUCUCUGAGUUAGAGUAAACUGUUAAGAACUAAAACUUACUUACUUUACCUUUCACCAUGGGACUUUUAACCGUCACUUCUGUCUUGAGUAGUUAAAAGAUAGAACAGUCUAGCCAAGUGCCAUGUCUCUUAUUCUUGAUCAGCUAUAGCUCUGGAGUUUUUGCAAAUUUUCAAAUAAAACUCAGAGAUUCCUUGUAUGACUCUCUAAAUCUCCCUUUUGUGGUAUUUCUGGAUCCUUACCAAGGCAGUGAUGGUAUAUGCCUUCUCUCAAGAUAUGUGGUAUUUGUGGUAUAAGGCAUAGUGACAUUGCCUUCUCUCUCACCCUACUCUAAUAAGGCUUUAAUAUCUGGAGCUCAUAGGUGGGAGAUAAAAUAUACAUACUUACAAGACAUUUAUUGUAUAGUCAAACCAUGGAUCCAAAGAAACAAAUCAAUAAGCCAAAUCAAGAUGUGCAUGUGUGGCGAAUGAAUGGUGUAUAGUGAUGAUGGUGAUAACAAUGGUGAAAGUCUAAUUCUACUUUUGCUCUUAUGAGGGGAUACAUACCUUCCUUGCUUUUUGAAACUUUAUGAGAAGAAUGAGAUGCUCUUCUUUUUCUUUCCUCUCAGGUGGGUAUCUUGUACCCCUAAUUCUACUGUCGGACACUUGUCCAUUUUUACCACUCGUCUCACUUUUUCUUUCUUUCGAGGUUCCGGGCACUUGCCCCUUUUUAUUUCCUCAUUUAUUAUUAUUAUUUUUCUUUUCUUCUCUUUUCUUUUCUUUUUUUUCAGAGCACUCAUCUCCUGAAAUAAUGUAGCUAGUGGUAGUAACCAAAAUAACUGGAGCAUUUAUUUUACAGGGAAUAACAGGGAUAGGGAAAUGUUUUUGGCUAUUCUCUCCCGGAUUAGGAGUAGAAUGAUUUUGUGUGAAACUGGAGAUGGAAAUGGAUGGAUAUAUGUGGAUGGUACUUCCGGAGUAGAAGUAGCAUAUAUGAGUGAACGUGCAAGUGAAUCUUGAUUUAACCACAUGACAAGCUCCUAAGGGUCUACACAGCUUGACCACACUCAAUGUUCAUAAGCAGUAAAUAAAUGUGUGGCUCAAAGUCUAGCAAGCAUGUAUAUAUGGCUGUGGUAGGAAUUUAAACUCUCAUCAUACAGGAACUCAUCAUGCAACAUUUUAAAGAUUUUCAAAGAUAAAAUUCUCCAGAAUUCUAGCAUCUCUAGGAACAGAUAAACAGCAGCUCAACCUUCCCAUAUCAUAUCCGUUAACAACUUAGAUUUCAGAUCAAGUUUCCAUCCCACAAGUUUAGAUCUAGAGCAAGCUUUAAAUUAUAACAGUUAUGUCUAAACUUGAGAGAGAACUUCAAAUUUGCAAAUUAGGCAGAGCAACUAUUCAUCAUAUCCAUGCUAGAGUUUUAUUAUUAAGAUUCAGAUUAGCAUAGCCACUUUAUUUAUUUAUUAAACACACUAAGCAAAAGAUAUAUAUAUAUAAGCACAAAAUCUUUAUUUGGUUUUUCAUAGUUUAUGUAUUUUAAUAUUCUAAUAUAAUAUAAGUAUAAAGAUAGGUAGAAAUACUUAGCGAGAUAAAUGGGGG